This is a non-coding RNA of Pelobates cultripes (western spadefoot toad), 202 nucleotides long. The record is from the annotation of a GenBank genome assembly. NCBI's taxonomy places the organism in Eukaryota, Metazoa, Chordata, Amphibia, Anura, Pelobatidae.
CUUAGAUCAACAGUGCAAGGAAUGGCUUUGUGAUCGUAGACCCACUACCCUCACAGAGGCCGCUAGGUUAGCUGAUGAACAUCGUGAUUCACGGUUACACGAAAGUAACAACUACUGACCAACAAUUCAUUCCGAAAGCCGGGAGAACUACCGAACAAUGUCCCGACCUGACUUCAGGGCUCCAGUGCCAGCAGGACCUACC